RNA transcript from Pan troglodytes (chimpanzee), 3452 nucleotides. It is a transcript of the gene named MYB proto-oncogene like 2, with no coding region annotated. The transcript is spliced from 14 exons. NCBI's taxonomy places the organism in Eukaryota, Metazoa, Chordata, Mammalia, Primates, Hominidae. The record is from RefSeq and is a predicted model, not a curated record.
GAGAUAGAAAAGUGCUUCAACCCGCGCCGGCGGCGACUGCAGUUCCUGCGAGCGGGGAGCGCGGGACCUGCUGACACGCUGACGCCUUCGAGCGCGGCCCGGGGCCCGGAGCGGCCGGAGCAGCCCGGGUCCUGACCCCGGCCCGGCUCCCGCUCCGGGCUCUGCCGGCGGGCGGGCGAGCGCGGCGCGGUCCGGGCCGGGGGGAUGUCUCGGCGGACGCGCUGCGAGGAUCUGGAUGAGCUGCACUACCAGGACACAGAUUCAGAUGUGCCGGAGCAGAGGGAUAGCAAGUGCAAGGUCAAAUGGACCCAUGAGGAGGACGAGCAGCUGAGGGCCCUGGUGAGGCAGUUUGGACAGCAGGACUGGAAGUUCCUGGCCAGCCACUUCCCUAACCGCACUGACCAGCAAUGCCAGUACAGGUGGCUGAGAGUUUUGAAUCCAGACCUUGUCAAGGGGCCAUGGACCAAAGAGGAAGACCAAAAAGUCAUCGAGCUGGUUAAGAAGUACGGCACAAAGCAGUGGACACUGAUUGCCAAGCACCUGAAGGGCCGGCUGGGGAAGCAGUGCCGUGAACGCUGGCACAACCACCUCAACCCUGAGGUGAAGAAGUCUUGCUGGACCGAGGAGGAGGACCGCAUCAUCUGCGAGGCCCACAAGGUGCUGGGCAACCGCUGGGCUGAGAUCGCCAAGAUGUUGCCAGGGAGGACAGACAAUGCUGUGAAGAAUCACUGGAACUCUACCAUCAAAAGGAAGGUGGACACAGGAGGCUUCUUGAGCGAGUCCAAAGACUGCAAGCCCCCGGUGUACUUGCUGCUGGAGCUCGAGGACAAGGACGGCCUCCAGAGUGCCCAGCCCACAGAAGACCAGGGAAGUCUUCUGACCAACUGGCCCUCCGUCCCUCCUACCAUAAAGGAGGAGGAAAGCAGUGAGGAGGAACUUGCAGCAGCCACCACAUCGAAGGAACAGGAGCCCAUCCCUACAGAUCUGGACGCAGUGCGAACACCAGAGCCCUUGGAGGAAUUCCCGAAGCGUGAGGACCAGGAAGGCUCCCCGCCAGAAACGAGCCUGCCUUACAAGUGGGUGGUGGAGGCAGCUAACCUCCUCAUCCCCGCUGUGGGUUCUAGCCUCUCUGAAGCCCUGGACUUGAUCGAGUCGGACCCUGAUGCUUGGUGUGACCUGAGUAAAUUUGACCUCCCUGAGGAACCAUCUGCAGAGGACAGUAUCAACAACAGCCUAGUGCAGCUGCAAGCGUCACAUCAGCAGCAAGUCCUGCCACCCCGCCAGCCUGCCGCCCCGGUGCCCAGCGUGACCGAGUACCGCCUGGAUGGCCACACCAUCUCAGACCUGAGCCGGAGCAGCCGGGGCGAGCUGAUCCCCAUUUCCCCCAGCACUGAAGUCGGGGGCUCUGGCAUUGGCACGCCGCCCUCUGUGCUCAAGCGGCAGAGGAAGAGGCGUGUGGCUCUGUCCCCUGUCACUGAGAAUAGCACCAGUCUGUCCUUCCUGGAUUCCUGUAACAGCCUCACGCCCAAGAGCACACCUGUUAAGACCCUGCCCUUCUCGCCCUCCCAGUUUCUGAACUUCUGGAACAAACAGGACACAUUGGAGCUGGAGAGCCCCUCGCUGACAUCCACCCCAGUGUGCAGCCAGAAGGUGGUGGUCACCACACCACUGCACCGGGACAAGACACCCCUGCACCAGAAACAUGCUGCGUUUGUAACCCCAGAUCAGAAGUACUCCAUGGACAACACUCCCCACACGCCAACCCCGUUCAAGAACGCCCUGGAGAAGUACGGACCCCUGAAGCCCCUGGUACGUGGUGUGGUCGCUGCCGUGGAUCUCUGCACAGUGGGAUCCCUUCGGUUCAUCCAACCAUGUUCAGUCCACAGGACCCUUCCCUCUGAGGUCUCAUUUGAUUCUUUCUCCUGAGAAGAUGCAGAGAUCCUGAUAAUAUAAAUGGGGAAGCUGAGGCUGCUCUUUGUCACUUCCUCCGACUGCUCCUGAGCACCUGAGUUUGCAAGCACGUGCCGGCUGGUGCUAGAGACAUGGUGGUAUCCCGUGACACUCAGCCUCAGGAUGGGGGAGACUGAUGUGAAAUACAAAUAACUUAAACACUUUCAGGCAAAGAUAAGCACUGGGCCUAGUUCAGAGAAGUGGCAAAUUGCUGCUCUGGCCUGUCUCUGACCAACUCCCAGUUCUCUACAGAGCACGGGAAAGCCCCUCGGGGACGUCUUUCCUGCAGUGUGCAGGCUGCCCUUCUCCCCUGCUCUUCCCAGUUGAUGGGAUGGUUGUGUUUUCUCUAUGAAAAAAGGAGUUGGCACCUUGGGCUUUCUGAAACACACAGGUGUUUUAGAAAUCAGUGGAGGGUGAGAGAAAGGCAUGGUUGUGGAGGCACUGGACUGUGAACAAGGUCUGCAGCGGGUCCCCCUGCUGUCUCUCUCCACUGCAUGGAGCCUCCUAUGAAGCCCAAGGUGGCUGGGGGCUGAGGCUCCCUUGGGCCUGCCAUGGAACUGAUUCUGAGUCAAGCAGACUUUCCACGGACCAUGCUACAUGAGCCGAGCCACAGACCCCGCACCUGGAGGAGGACUUGAAGGAGGUGCUGCGCUCUGAGGCUGGCAUCGAACUCAUCAUCGAGGACGACGUCAGGCCCGAGAAGCAGAAGAGGAAGCCUGGGCUGCGGCGGAGCCCCAUCAAGAAAGUCCGGAAGUCUCUGGCUCUUGACAUUGUGGAUGAGGAUGUGAAGCUGAUGAUGUCCACACUGCCCAAGUCUCUAUCCUUGCCGACAACUGCCCCUUCAAACCCUUCCAGCCUCACCCUGUCAGGUAUCAAAGAAGACAACAGCUUGCUCAACCAGGGCUUCUUGCAGGCCAAGCCCGAGAAGGCAGCAGUGGCCCAGAAGCCCCGAAGCCACUUCACGACACCUGCCCCUAUGUCCAGUGCCUGGAAGACGGUGGCCUGCGGGGGGACCAGGGACCAGCUUUUCAUGCAGGAGAAAGCCCGGCAGCUCCUGGGCCGCCUGAAGCCCAGCCACACAUCUCGGACCCUCAUCUUGUCCUGAGGUGUUGAGGGUGUCACGAGCCCAUUCUCAUGUUUACAGGGGUUGUGGGGGCAGAGGGGGUCUGUGAAUCUGAGAGUCAUUCAGGUGACCUCCUGCAGGGAGCCUUCUGCCACCAGCCCCUCCCCAGACUCUCAGGUGGAGGCAACAGGGCCAUGCGCUGCCCUGUUGCCGAGCCCAGCUGUGGGCGGCUCCUGGUGCUAACAACAUAGUUCCACUCCCAGGUCUGCCUGGUUCCCUCCCCAAGGCCACAGGGAGCUCAGUCAGCUUCUCCCAAGCCCACGUCAGGCCUGGCCUCAUCUCAGACCCUGCUUAGGAUGGGGGAUGUGGCCAGGGGUGCUCCUGUGCUCACCCUCUCUUGGUGCAUUUUUUUGGAAGAAUAAAAUUGCCUCUGUCUUUG